AGACUCGCGCACGUUCCAGGUGCUCGCCCUUUUCGUCCCUGGCGAAAGGGCAGUUCAACGGGAAACAGGGAGCCGGGCCGGCUGCGCGCCGGACAGGCCAACCUGUGCUGCCCCCGCAACGGUAAGCGACCGCGGUGCGCAUCUGCCAGACCCCGACAUAGCCGACAGCCAGCCUGCCGGCAACGCCGCUGGCAAGGCCGGAUCCCAUUCCCGGCCACAUGCACCGCAGGACCGGCCACACGCCACUGAACCGCAGGUUCGGGAAGGCGCCGGCCCAGUGUCGCCAGCCCGGAUACCGGCCUGAACGCGGGCUGCCGCC
Molecule: unclassified non-coding RNA, 319 nt
Filed under: Cupriavidus necator
Lineage: Bacteria; Pseudomonadati; Pseudomonadota; Betaproteobacteria; Burkholderiales; Burkholderiaceae
Source: RNAcentral